AGUAACACGUGACUAAUCUACCCUCGAGUGGGGAAUAACUGAGAGAAAUCUUAGCUAAUACCGCAUAACACUUACGAGUCAAAGCAGCAAUGCGCUUGGGGAGGAGGUCGCGGCCGAUUAGCUAGUUGGCGGGGUAAUGGCCCACCAAGGCGAUGAUCGGUAUCCGGCCUGAGAGGGCGCACGGACACACUGGAACUGAAACACGGUCCAGACUCCUACGGGAGGCAGCAGUGGGGAAUUUUGCGCAAUGGGGGAAACCCUGACGCAGCAACGCCGCGUGGAGGAUGAAGUAUCUCGGUACGUAAACUCCUUUCGAUGGGGAAGAUAAUGACGGUACCCAUAGAAGAAGCCCCGGCUAACAUUCGUGCCAGCAGCCGCGGUAAUACGAGGGGGGCAAGCGUUGUUCGGAUAUAUUGGGCGUAAAGGGUGCGUAGGCGGUUUAGGCAAGUCUCGUGUGAAAUCUAUGGGCUCAAGCCAUAGCCUAGAACGAGAAACUACCGGGCUUGAGUGAUGGAGAG
Molecule: ribosomal RNA, 518 nt
Filed under: uncultured bacterium
Lineage: Bacteria
Description: bacterial SSU rRNA
Rfam family: Bacterial small subunit ribosomal RNA
Source: RNAcentral